AUGUCUCCUCAUUUCCAACCUCAAACCUCCCCUGGCGCAACUUGAGGCCAUUCCCUCUAGUCCUGUCACUGGCUACCUGUGAGAAGAGGCUGACCCCCAGCUCUCGUCGUAGGGCCCUAUGGAAUUUUUUCUCAUAUGAGGAUCAGGGGGUCUCCUAUGGAAAUCCAGUCACAAUCCAGUCACAUGCCAGUGUAGUUCCCACCCAUCCUAUCCCCAGCCUGAGGGUAGUCAAAACAUCCAUCAGACUGCGGCACUGAAAGCUGGAAAGCAUUCUUGGCACAGCAGAAGCCAGCUGAGAACAUGGUGGUCAAUGCUGUGGGAAAGCAGUGCAAACUGGAAAUAUGAAGAAAAGAUGAAGAUAUAAAGAACAGGCGGCCCUUCCUUGAAAAGGCCAUUUUGUCUCUUGUAGUUUCUUACACUGGCAAGCUGCUGUUUCCUGACAGUUGCAUGGGAGGAUUUUUUUUUUGUCAAUUUCUCCUCAAAAGCUGACUCUUUCUUAUACCCUUUGAUUUUCUUUCUGUCUAGCUCUUAAGAAAGGAAGAUGCUAUAUUAUGUAAUAUAUAU
Cygnus atratus (black swan) is the source of this 564-nucleotide long non-coding RNA. RefSeq lists it as uncharacterized. The transcript is spliced from 3 exons. Lineage: Eukaryota; Metazoa; Chordata; Aves; Anseriformes; Anatidae. The record is from RefSeq and is a predicted model, not a curated record.